This 253-nucleotide ribosomal RNA is filed under the name uncultured bacterium. Its description in RNAcentral is "partial 16S ribosomal RNA". It matches the Rfam family "Bacterial small subunit ribosomal RNA", at positions 524 to 776 of the family's 1533-position model. The record is from RNAcentral. RNAcentral also lists the same sequence under 1 other name.
GACAGAGGUGCCAAGCGUUAGGCGGAAUCACUGGGCUUAAAGCGUGUGUAGGCGGAAUGGUAAGUACCUUGUGAAAUCCCACGGCUCAACCGUGGAACUGCUUGGUAUACUGCUUUUCUUGAGCCACUUAGGGGCAACCGGAACAAACGGUGGAGCGGUGAAAUGCGUAGAUAUCGUUUGGAACGCCAAUGGUGAAAACAGGUUGCUGGGAGUGUGCUGACGCUGAGACACGAAAGCCAGGGGAGCGAACGGG